AUUGAACGCUGGCGGCAUGCCUUACACAUGCAAGUCGAACGGUAACGGGCCUUCGGGUGCCGACGAGUGGCGAACGGGUGAGUAAUACAUCGGAACGUGCCCGAUCGUGGGGGAUAACGAGGCGAAAGCUUUGCUAAUACCGCAUACGAUCUACGGAUGAAAGCAGGGGACCGCAAGGCCUUGCGCGGACGGAGCGGCCGAGGGCAGAUUAGGUAGUUGGUGGGAUAAAAGCUUACCAAGCCGACGAUCUGUAUCUGGUCUGAGAGGAUGAUCAGCCACACUGGGACUGAGACACGGCCCAGACUCCUACGGGAGGCAGCAGUGGGGAAUUUUGGACAAUGGGCGCAAGCCUGAUCCAGCCAUGCCGCGUGCAGGAUGAAGGCCUUCGGGUUGUAAACUGCUUUUGUACGGAACGAAAAGCCUUCUUUUAAUACAGGAGGGUCAUGACGGUACCGUAAGAAUAAGCACCGGCUAACUACGUG
This 482-nucleotide ribosomal RNA is filed under the name uncultured bacterium. Its description in RNAcentral is "partial 16S ribosomal RNA". It matches the Rfam family "Bacterial small subunit ribosomal RNA", at positions 30 to 507 of the family's 1533-position model. The record is from RNAcentral.